CCCCUUCCCCGUCUUUGCGUACGAUCUCGGUGCAUCCCUGAGAUGUCCACCUGGAAGCGCCUCUCUACGCCUUGGUUACCCGGUCGCCCUCUCCUCCGUUAAAGCCGCACAGUAGCAAGAGGUCGACCAGGGCGGGGAGGGGCCUGCAGGCCGUGCCGCCUCACUUUCGCAUAAAGUGCCAAGGCUGGAACCUGGAGAAAAGAGGUCCACGAGGGAGAACCGGGAGCGGGGCGCAAGACGCAAAGAGCCGAAUUUAGGCUCCAAGUCAGGGGCCGUUCCUGAUAAUCAGCGCGGCCCCGAGGUGGUGGAACGGGGCGCCGCGGGGCUGCUGGGAGGGAGGGUCCCGAGGCGGCCCAGUUCUCAGGAUCCUCGUUUGGGAGUUCCGUCCUGCAAGUCGGCCUGGCCUGCGGGGCCUCCCGACCACUCGUUUCCCAAGCUCUCAUCUAAGUUCCCCACAUCCCCCAGGUUGGAAGGGACGGCUAAGGCGGGCUGGAAGCCGGGGUUUACGAGGAGGAGAAGAAAGGUGUGUGGGUCUGGCGUGGCCCAAGUCUGGAAUCACUCAAAUCUUCCAAAUUCAUCAGGCUCCUAAGAUCCCAGGAAGACCCUUCUCUGCCCACACAAGCUCCCCUCAAGGGUGGGGGUUGCCCUUCCAAAACGAAGAAAAUAUCACACAGCAAGAACAUGGGAGCAUCCCAUGUCCUGGCUUCAGGGGAGCGAGGAGGAGGAGGGCAGACCAGGGCAAGGGAAGUGACCUGGUUCAACCCCACUUACGCUGUUGAGUGAAAAUGAAGUAAUAACCUGAGAGAAAGGCCCUGAAAUAUAGAGCCCAGCCUGACGUUUGGGAAGAAGACCUAACCAAUGGAGUACUCAAUCUUCUAAUAAAACCUGAAGAGGAAGAUAACUCAUUGAGGCUCAUACUGCUGAGCCAACCUCAAUCCCUUUAACUUCGCAAAUAUGAAAAACUAUUGGAAAUGAAUGCUUGUUUAAAGCCAAACAUCUCCCAAAAUGGGAAUUUCCACUGAUUUUAGAGGCUCCUCAAUAUUUCAUGCCUCCAAGAGCAGCCAUUUAUUUUUCUGCUGAAUAGCUGAAAUCACCCAUUCUUCCUGUCUCCUUGUCUGGGCUAUAGUAAUUUCACACUGGACAGCUGUAACCUCCUUUAUAUGCUAGCCUUCCAAUUUCUAACCUCUCUGUUCCAAAAUAUUUUACUUCUGUGUCUGGCACAUAGUAGGUACUUAAUGCUUGUUGGUUGAUUGACUACUGCCUGCAAAGACCAAUGCCAGGGUGAUCCAUCCCACUCAUCUGGGAUGCCCUACACUUAUCUACUCUUAUCUCUUGCUAUUCCCCAGCUCAUGCCCUACAGUACAUAUGAACCCAGCCUUCUCAUGGCCUUCUACUUCUUAUGUCUUUGAGAAUCUGUUCAAGUCCAAUCUACCUGGAACGCACUCACUCAUCUUCUCUAACACACCCCUCUUUGAUCACAUGGAAAAUUUCCUGUCAUCUAUCCCGUAUUAAUAAUAAAAU
This is a long non-coding RNA of Trichosurus vulpecula (common brushtail), 1521 nucleotides long. RefSeq lists it as uncharacterized. The record is from RefSeq and is a predicted model, not a curated record. Lineage: Eukaryota; Metazoa; Chordata; Mammalia; Diprotodontia; Phalangeridae. The transcript is spliced from 3 exons.